AAAGUCAACUUUAAGCGCACAGUAUUGAACAGCACCACAUCCUUUAGCAGCAGGUUCUGAAUAGUUCAAAGAGGCAAAGAGGCGCAGAAGUUACUAGGAAGAGAUGAAAGCGGUGGAAAUCACGAGACUCGGCGGACCAGAGGUUCUCCAGCUCCGGGAGGUGGAUGAACUGGCCAUAGCCGACGACGAGGUCCUCAUCAUUCGUCAAGGUGGAUGCCGCCGGCGUGAACAACGCCGACGGAUCUCAUAGGCAAGUAUCCACCGCCCAAAGGAGCCAGCCUCUUCCCCGGACUCGAAUGUUCCGGUACGUCGGCAAAUUCGUCGACCUUGGAAUCUCGGCGAUCAGCUGAUGAACUAAGAAACAGAAGCGCAGAACAUAAAGCUGCCAUAGUUGCUGAGGCGGAGAGGCAUAUUUGGCCAGCCAUUGAAGCAGCAGAAGCUCAUAGCAUCAUAGAAAGGAGUAUUCAUAUCGGUAAAAUAUUCUAGUUCCAUGAAUAGAAUCAAAAGGAAAACCUUCAAAAUAUUUCGACAAAAUAAUGUCUUCCUUCUUACAUAAUGAAUAUUUAGUUACUAAUGCUAUCGAGAUUCUCACUUGAAAAGCCAAAGGUUUUGUGCUGCAGAAAGCUCUUCGAAUUCUAUCUAAUUCUCUCACCUGAACAGGCACUCGAUGUGGUGAUUAGAAAGUACUACAUUUAAGUACCAACUGCUGCACUGAGGGUAAUCUGCCCUUCCAAACUUUUAGUCUUCAUUGAAACAAUUUGUCUGUGGAGAAAUUUCAAUCAAAUUUUCUCCACUCUUUAGG
Long non-coding RNA from Dendrobium catenatum, 802 nucleotides. RefSeq lists it as uncharacterized. The transcript is spliced from 2 exons. The record is from RefSeq and is a predicted model, not a curated record. Lineage: Eukaryota; Viridiplantae; Streptophyta; Magnoliopsida; Asparagales; Orchidaceae.